UAUAAAAGAAGAAUGAUACAGAGAAAAUCAGCAUGGUCCCUGAGCAAGGAUGAUACAUGAAUUCAUGAAGCUUUCCAUAUUUUU
This 84-nucleotide small nuclear RNA is filed under the name Gorilla gorilla gorilla (western lowland gorilla). The record is from RNAcentral. Lineage: Eukaryota; Metazoa; Chordata; Mammalia; Primates; Hominidae.